This 441-nucleotide ribosomal RNA is filed under the name uncultured bacterium. RNAcentral's name for it is "partial 16S ribosomal RNA". It matches the Rfam family "Bacterial small subunit ribosomal RNA", at positions 338 to 795 of the family's 1533-position model. The record is from RNAcentral.
CCUACGGGAGGCUGCAGUGGGGGAUAUUGCACAAUGGGGGGAACCCUGAUGCAGCGACGCCGCGUGGGUGAAGGAGCGUUUCGGCGCGUAAAGCCCUAUCGGCAGGGAAGAAGGAGGACGGUACCUGACUAAGAAGCCCCGGCUAACUACGUGCCAGCAGCCGCGGUAAUACGUAGGGGGCAAGCGUUAUCCGGAUUUACUGGGUGUAAGGGGGGCGCAGACGGCAGCGCAAGCCAGGAGUGAAAGCCCGGGGCCCAACCCCGGGACUGCUCUUGGAACUGCGCGGCUGGAGUGCAGGAGGGGCAGGCGGAAUUCCUGGUGUAGCGGUGAAAUGCGUAGAUAUCAGGAGGAACACCGAUUGCGAAGGCAGCCUACUAAACUGCCACUGACAUUGAUGCUCGAAAGUGUGGGUAUCAAACAGGAUUAGAUACCCCUGUAGUC